ACUCCUACGGGAGGCAGCAGUGGGGAAUAUUGCACAAUGGGGGAAACCCUGAUGCAGCCAUGCCGCGUGUGUGAAGAAGGCCUUCGGGUUGUAAAGCACUUUCAGUAGGGAGGAAGGUAGUGUAGUUAACACCUGCACUAUUUGACGUUACCUACAGAAGAAGCACCGGCUAACUCCGUGCCAGCAGCCGCGGUAAUACGGAGGGUGCGAGCGUUAAUCGGAAUUACUGGGCGUAAAGCGCAUGCAGGUGGUUUGUUAAGUCAGAUGUGAAAGCCCGGGGCUCAACCUCGGAACUGCAUUUGAAACUGGCAGACUAGAGUACUGUAGAGGGGGGUAGAAUUUCAGGUGUAGCGGUGAAAUGCGUAGAGAUCUGAAGGAAUACCGGUGGCGAAGGCGGCCCCCUGGACAGAUACUGACACUCAGAUGCG
This 428-nucleotide ribosomal RNA is filed under the name uncultured bacterium. Its description in RNAcentral is "bacterial SSU rRNA". It matches the Rfam family "Bacterial small subunit ribosomal RNA", at positions 335 to 755 of the family's 1533-position model. The record is from RNAcentral.